CCCCUAGAACCUCUCAGGGAUUCAGGAGCUCAGAAACCAAAAGCAGUGGCUUGUUCCAUUCCCUGCUUUCCUGUUACCCAAUAUUCAGGACAUUGGGUGAUUUCCAAAGCUUGAGGCUAAGUAGAUAAUCCUGUGUGUCCCAAGAUAAGGAGUUCUCAGGGUGUGCUGUGACGAUGGGGACAAGGUAUCAAUGGGAACAUCCCAUGGUAUUUCCAUGAUUGCAACAGACUGUAGUUAUUUGGGGUUUAUCCAGUUUUGCUGCGACCACCUACUGACAAUGUAUCUGUCAGGAAGAAGAAAAAGCACGAAAUUCAAAUGUGCAAGAAGACGUGCAAAACAAACCCUGUGA
RNAcentral lists this long non-coding RNA (349 nucleotides) under Manacus vitellinus (golden-collared manakin). RNAcentral's name for it is "lncRNA (ENSMVIG00005008600.1)". Lineage: Eukaryota; Metazoa; Chordata; Aves; Passeriformes; Pipridae. The record is from RNAcentral.